UCAGAAGAGGACAUUAGACCAGAAGCAAUAUUAGAUGUAAUCAAGUCUCUCAGAAAUGGUACAUUUCCAGGUCCAGAUGGGUUCCCACCAGACUUUUACAGAUUUUUUUUAGACCAGACUCUUAAUACAUUGAGAGAAGUACAUAUUGUAGUAAUCCCAAAACCAAGUAAGGUUAUGAUAAGAUCUUCAUACACACCUAGAUCUUUAUUAAGCCAAAACACAAUGAAUUUUGCAUCAGUCUUACCAAGUAGCUUAAAAAAAUACUCCCUAAAUAUAUUGCCAUAGACCAAACCACAUUCAUAAUGAAUAAGCAUUCAUGGAGUAUUAGAUCUGAUUUUUCAUGAAGAAUCAAGUAAUGAACCUCAAUAUAUUUUAUUAUUGGAUGGUGAAAAAGAAAAGAACUAGAUGCUUUUGGAAAAGGACCAACAUUUCAAAACUGGAUGUCAACUCUAUUUUAAGCCAUCAGCUGCAAGAGGAGAUGGACGCAUCUCAGAAAAAAAUUCACCUUACAUUGAGAAUGCCCAUUAUCUCUUCCUCCCCCUCCACGUUUUUUUGCUAUGGUAAUGGAAACAUUUGCAGUCAAUGUCAAUGGCCUUAGCCACAGCCCAGCCAGACAGAAGCAGCAGCAGCAGCUGCAGCUUUGGCUCUGGGUCUGUAGCAAAAGCCAAAGCUGAGUCUCCAUGUGCCCCAGUCUGGCACUCAAAUCUAAGAUGAAUCUGCUACCCCAUGUUUCCCCCUUAUCUUAGAUUCAAGUAAAUAUGCUGUUGAAGUCAGCAGGCACAGCUGAAUCAGAGAAACAGGGCUGGAAGAGACACUUGGAGGCCAUCUAAUCCAGCGCCUUGCUUACAGCAAGAUAAGUCCUGUCUAAACCAUCCCAGGUCAGUGUUUGUCUAAGCUGAAGAUAAAACCUUCCAGUGAUGGAGAUUUCACAGUCUCCCUGGGCAAUCUGUUCCAGUGCCUAACCACCCUCAAGGUUCUUCCUAAUAGUCAAACUAAAUCCAUUGCAUUCUGAAAUUCACAUUCAAUUCUCCAAUUUCACCUUUUCACACAGUUCUGAGGUUCUUGCAUAAAUAUAGUCUUCUGUAUCAGACCUGUUGAAAAAAGAAAAGUAUCUGCUAGGAGUAGCGACAUGCAGAAUGAUUGCGAGAAAGCCAACUGCAGUUAUGUAAAUAAUGUACCAACAGCUGGACAGUAUUAAGACUUCCCCCAUUGAGGUUUAAGGGCUCUUGCACUUUUCUGUAGUGGAAUUGCUGAAUGUUCCCCAGUUAGCAUUUUAAAAGAAAUAGAAUACCAGAGGAAACUACCUUCACAACACUAUGCCAGAAAAUGAUGCCAAAGCCAUGAUAAAGUCUCUCUCAAUGUGAGCACAUGGGUAAUCCAGGUUGAAAUCCUUCACUACCCCAAGAUCUUCCGCUGACCUACUGGGAUGAGUUCCCUUGGGUCAUUGUUGGAAGCUGUAGAUAAGUAAAAUGUUAAACAUCUAUGGAAAUUAGACCUCUUUUAUUUGUGUCUAAAUACAUCACUAGGGAAAAUGUUGUGUAUGCUCAUUACCUACAAUUUUCUCUAAUCAGUUACUAUGUACUAGUUUCCAAGAUGGAUACAGGCUUGGAGGCAGCAGUCCUAACAAAUUCUUGCUGUCCAGCUGCAUUGGUUUCCUUACUGCCUCCACUACAACUGGCUCCCCACUACCACUUUUUCCCUUUUAGCAGAAGGGUGGGAGACACAAGGAAGGAUGCAGAGGAGAAAGGAAAGAAGAAGACAGGCAGUAGAGAGGAAAGAACCAAGAGAAAGAGGAGCUGGAGAAGGCAGCAGUGUGAGGGGGCUCAGUCUCCUGUAUUUGGCCAGACUCCAGGGGCAACACUUUAGGAAAGCCCCAAUUUAGUGGAUUCUACAGAAGGGAAGUCAAUACCAGCACUUUGGGCCCAUUUAUUUGCAUCUAAAGGCAGCUUUUCCCCUAAUAUUCUUUUUUCCUUCCCCACCUUGCUGUGUGUCUACUGGCAAGCCCAUUAUCCUUUUGUCUUUUGGACUAAUUACUAGAGUAAGAUUUUUGCCAGCUGGCACAGUUCUGUUACCACUCUGGUGCUAGCUGCUGGUUUGCUUAGAGCUGAAGCUUCUUCAUAUAUAAGAAUUUCAGCUUCAUUUUUUAAAAGAGAACACCUGGCCUUUGUGAUUAGUGAGAAACACUAGAAAAUGUGAACACUGGUGACUCAACAGCUGAGAGGCAAAAUAAAAUCAACACAAUACAUAUUUUUAAUCUCCCAAUGUUAAUGUGUAUGUUAUUUUUGCAGGGGUUUGAUCUUAAUUUCAUAAUUUCCCAUAGACCAGGAAUUCCAGUUUCUAUCAAGCUCUAUUAAUUACAUAGUUACCAUGACCUGCUACAUGGGUUACAGCAGGAGUGCUCAACCUCUGGUCCAUGGGCCAAAUGGGCCCCUGGAGCCUUGGAAUCCAGCCCAUGGGGCUCCCAACAGGUCAGGAAAUUUGGUGGUGGGGGAGCAGUGGCACUACUGUCACCCUUCUCCACUGCUAGAAUCCCAAGCCCCAUAGGCCAGUUCAGAGCCAGACCAUACCCACUUCCUUCCAGGCAGCUAGGUUGGGGCAAGGCUGUGCCCCCCCUUCUUCCUAUGGAGCCAGGCCAUCCCUCUCCCUAUACAUGGCUGGUUCAAGACUGGACUAUGCCCUUCUCACCCAGCUCUCUGCCCAUAAGGCCAGACCACACCCCCUUCCUGGCCAAGAUGGGGCUGAGCCACGAUCCCUUCCCCCCUGCAGGGCUGGAUCAAGACCAUGUUCUGCCCUGCUGGGGCCAGGUUGGGGGCUCGCCCAAAGCCCCUUUCACUGCAUGUUUGGAUUGGAUUUAGGCUGCCCCCCUCCUCCCUCUGCACAGCUGGCCCCACAGGAUCUCGCCAAAAGAGGGAUCUAGCACAACUGGGUAAGAGGUAACGAUGUUAGUUAAUAGCCAUGAAAACUGAUAAAUUAUUUGAUUACAACUAUGCAGCUAUUUUUCACCAAAGUACCUAGGAGCCAAGGCUGCUUAAUUAUUAGAACACCUUGUCUGCGUGUUGAGCUAUUCAUUAUCCUUUGGCACUAUGCAGGAAAAAAAAACAGACUGAGGUUUGUGUAAGUAAUAUGAAAAUAACGCUGAUACCCUUUCCUUGGUCAUGUAAAGACUGGAAACCAAUGUGUGACUGGCUUUGUAACAGUGCAAAGAAGUUCUGAACCAGAGCGAAUGCGGUGGGAUUUUCUAGUAGUAGGAUCAUGUGUCAUGUAUAAUUCUUCAUUAUUUCCUUUCUUUACCACGUUAGGCUUUGAAUUCUGGGCAACUAAUCAAAUGGGAUGAAUUCAUCAUUUUUUUUUCUGUUGAGCUCUGGAAAUCACCAUCCUGGCUAUAGAUUACUGAGCUAUUAAUAGUUGAGAGGAAAAACUUAUUUUGUGAUGCAAAAGGUCAUUUUCAAGAACUAUCCCCAGGGCUGCAGUUUGUUCACAUACUGGAUCAGUAAAAGCCUGUGUUGUUUACGUGCUUCAGGUAUUAAAAUGUUCAGAAUGUGUUAUCUCUUCCUCUUCCAGGUUUUCUCUGCUUCUCUCUCUCUCCGCUUUGUCUUCCUCCUUUCUUUGGAAGGUUUAUAUGCCUGUAUGGCAGCAAGUUCCUGGUUUUCCACAGAGCAUUUUUGAAGCAGGAAGCAAACUGGCCAAAGUGGACCAUUGUAACAUGAACUAAACUAAUGUAGCUGACGUUAACAUAGAGUGUAAUAACAGUGAAAUAUAACCAUGUUAGUCUUGUCCUGUAAGCAACUUGAAAACUCCAUUUUGUAUCCUUCUGCUUGACAUAAGUGAAUGAACUCUGCAUUGCCUGUAUGUAUGUAUGCGUGUGUGUAAAAGGGUGAAUGGUGAGAGAAUGGCAUAGAGACGGAAGAAGAUUCAACUGUUUAAGUAAGCAACAAGGCGCCAAAUGUAAGUUACCAAUCACUAACUAACAAACGGCUGAAGAAUCCCUUUGAAGCUCCAAGGCACAAAGGAGAUAACAGAAGAAAUUCUGUGAGAUGGGCAACAAACACACUCCAAGGCUGAAGACAGAAGAAGAACAACCGCAAAAACAGAAGCUGGGUAUGGAAAAACCCCAAAGCACUGAAACAAAGGAUGCCAAUCCCUAUAAAAGAACACUUUGAAAAUGCCAAGUUGGGUGAGUCUUUUUCUCUCCUGCUGUUUCACUGGAGCACAGAUGCAUCUGUUCACCCCGCUCCAGCUGUUAUCUUUAAAUCUGCUAUCUUCAAAUCAACAUCAUCUACUCAAUAAUCCUGGGUUGGCCACCCUGGGCUGAUCUUGAGCAACUAUUGCUGGUAACUAUAUCUGGUGUGUGUGGCUGAAAUGGUUGUUUUGUGUAUGUGUAUGCCUGUGUGUAAUGAUGUGUAUGAUGAUUUGUGUGUGUUUGUAUGAACGGUGUGCCUGAACCUCUAUGUCUAACUCAUGUAAUCAGUAAACGCAGCACCUUGCCUUAUCCCCCUUUAUAAAGUCUCGCUUGUGGUUUGAGCAAUUGGCAAUUGUGUAACACCAUUGGGGUCCCUUGAUUUUUAGUUAGAUGACCAUACACCACUGUUUUGCUGGUCAGGUUUGUUUGAUUCUAGUAUUGCUGAUCUAGGAAGGCUGGAUGGAGGUGUUCACAGAGCUCACCAACCCCAGGCCAACAGAGGGUAUGGAGAGAAUGGCAGCGUCACUAUUCCUCUUAUGGAAAAUACUGGGGGGAAAAAAGAGGAAUAUAGCAAGGUGGCAAGAGGUGAUUUGGUAAUUUUAAAGAAUGCUUCCUGAUGACUACUUGGUUCCAGGGAAGAUUUGUAAAUCAGGAAGGAACAAAAGUGUUCAUUUUAAUUGGAAACACAGCUCACUUCGCCUGGAAAGCCUUUGAGACAGAAGAAACCCACCAGGUUGUGCGCCAAAGAACUUCAGAAGACCUUAACCCCUGAGUGCUAUGAGAAUGCUGUAUCAGAAGCUGUUUUUCACAUCUAAUUUAAAAUGUGAGUUCUAAUUGGCUUUUUGUCAGCAGACCCAAAAGGUAAGUUAGAGUCAACUGGCAGAGAGUGAACUACCUUGAGGGGCUGGACCCACCAGUGCCAAUUGGAGACUCACUCUACAGCUCCCAGGCUGGUACCUUCAAAAGCUAAAAUACAUUUCUGAAUUACUUAUUCUGAAUACAUGUUCAAAAGGCCACAUCUUCACCAUGGUUAGGAAGGCAUUUCACUCUCCUAUUACCUACUACAUGCUCAAGAUAUGACCAGUUUACUUAGAGGGGGAGGGAGGCAAGGAGGAGGGGAAAGAGCAA
Long non-coding RNA from Alligator mississippiensis (American alligator), 5308 nucleotides. RefSeq lists it as uncharacterized. The record is from RefSeq and is a predicted model, not a curated record. NCBI's taxonomy places the organism in Eukaryota, Metazoa, Chordata, Crocodylia, Alligatoridae. The transcript has 2 exons.